ACGCUGUGAUGAAACAUUUCAUGCCGUCUGACUGCAUUUCUGUGCGGAAACCCAGAGGCUGUUUCUGAGCAA
Molecule: small nucleolar RNA, 72 nt
Organism: Apteryx haastii (Great spotted kiwi)
Lineage: Eukaryota; Metazoa; Chordata; Aves; Apterygiformes; Apterygidae
Source: Ensembl